RNAcentral lists this ribosomal RNA (597 nucleotides) under uncultured bacterium. RNAcentral describes it as "bacterial SSU rRNA". It matches the Rfam family "Bacterial small subunit ribosomal RNA", at positions 93 to 708 of the family's 1533-position model. The record is from RNAcentral.
GAGUGGCGGACGGGUGAGUAACGCGUGGGUAACCUGCCUCAUACAGGGGGAUAACAGUUAGAAAUAACUGCUAAUACCGCAUAAGCGCACAGUGCUGCAUAGCACAGUGUGAAAAACUCCGGUGGUAUGAGAUGGACCCGCGUCUGAUUAGCUGGUUGGUGGGGUAACGGCCUACCAAGGCGACGAUCAGUAGCCGGCCUGAGAGGGUGAACGGCCACAUUGGGACUGAGACACGGCCCAAACUCCUACGGGAGGCAGCAGUGGGGAAUAUUGCACAAUGGGGGAAACCCUGAUGCAGCGACGCCGCGUGAGCGAAGAAGUAUUUCGGUAUGUAAAGCUCUAUCAGCAGGGAAGAAAAUGACGGUACCUGACUAAGAAGCACCGGCUAAAUACGUGCCAGCAGCCGCGGUAAUACGUAUGGUGCAAGCGUUAUCCGGAUUUACUGGGUGUAAAGGGAGCGUAGACGGUUGUGUAAGUCUGAUGUGAAAGCCCGGGGCUCAACCCCGGGACUGCAUUGGAAACUAUGUAACUAGAGUGUCGGAGAGGUAAGCGGAAUUCCUAGUGUAGCGGUGAAAUGCGUAGAUAUUAGGAGGAACA